Molecule: long non-coding RNA, 1477 nt
Filed under: Setaria italica (foxtail millet)
Lineage: Eukaryota; Viridiplantae; Streptophyta; Magnoliopsida; Poales; Poaceae
Description: long non-coding RNA (SITA_LNC004304)
Source: RNAcentral
UCUCUCAUUUUCGCCGCUUUCUCCAGCAGCAACCCAGCGUGCGUGCUGGCGCUGCCUCGUGGAUCCGGCGUCGUUGGGCAUGGACGCAUGGUCAUCGGCGUAUGGCCGCGGCCGCGAUUCAGUGCGCGGCGGGAGCUAGCUGGGCCGCUGGGGUGGAGGAUGGGCUUGCCAUCUUGAUCGACCACGCUCGCACGUAAACUCUUCCGCUCGCUCUGCCUCUAUUUGUGUCAAAGAAUCGCUAUAGGCGUUCUGCCCCUAAAGUGUGCGAUCAAAUGCCUCUGGGUGUUUCUCAAAUAGAACAUAAGAUAUAUUUCUUCCAAAUCAAACUCCGAGGAAAUGCAUUUUGCAUAUAUUUCAUCGUUAUUAAUCAAUUGUUAUGAAUUUCAUCUACACUAGCGUUAUCAGUUAUCACCGACUCACUGUAUCUUUGUUAUGAACACAAGAUUUUAUCAGAAAAAUAGAAUACAGCUACACGUACAAACAUUUAACUACAACUUGAGAUCAACUUAAAAUCUAACUUCAGGACAGUACUACACCUGCAAUCAUCUGAGUACAAAUGUAUGGAUUUCUACCCAAAAUCCUGGAAGUACGCUAUUCCUCGAUGUCGUCGUAACUGAAGUCCCAAAUAGAUCUGUACAUUCUACUAAAGGUUUGUGGCGCUAAACUGCAACUUGUGUCUGUUUAAGUUGAUUCAGCUAUUUAACUUGAUUUAGUUGAAGCACCUAUUUUGGUUUCUUCCUGUGUACAUAGCUGAUUGUGUGCGGCUCCCUUUCAGGAUUGAUCCCAGAUGGCACCAAUGAAGAUAUCUAGGGAAAUAGAGUCUGCUACUUAUGGAGGACCACUGGCAUGAUGUUUUGGACCUUUUAGAUUCCAGGAUCUGACAAAUCGAAGCAGCUUGAAAACCUUAAUCCAUCGAGAAGCAUAUCCCAAGUUUCACAGUCGGUGAAGGUCAACCUGAACACACGCAUGUGUCUUAUCCACUGCAAGACUCUGCUUGAACAAGAACUGAUGUAGACACGUGCUGUUCUUUCGCCUUUGUUCCUGUGUGGCACUGGCACUGGACCUGCCACUUUCAUCUGAGGCAGAGAGCAUUGGCGGUGGCGGUCAUCGGUGGUGAAGCGGGGUGUUAAAAUCCAUGCAUUUGUUCAGCUCUAUAUUCAGUUAGCGAGAGAAGUCUCUUUCUGUGGCUGCACGCGUUUGUUGGCACCAGACUCGUUGCUGCAUUCACGCGGGGUGACCACGUUUCCCUUUGGCUAUUUUUGUAGGCGUGAUCUGUUUCUGUUCUUUCGUGGGAUGGGCACGACCUGGAGAUGUGGUUUUCCCUUUGUACCUGUUCAAUGCACUGAGCAAAGGUGCUCUGUCUAUUCGUCGUGAUCUCUGUCAAGUGCGACUUUAUUGUACACCUGUAAUUCGAUGUGGACUAGAAAUCCCUUGUAUCUAUUCCCGCGUGUAAUUUGCUAUUUUGGUAGAAACAAAC